This 75-nucleotide transfer RNA is filed under the name Flavobacterium sp. Its description in RNAcentral is "tRNA-Asn". It matches the Rfam family "tRNA". From Rfam's summary of the family: Transfer RNA (tRNA) molecules are approximately 80 nucleotides in length. Their secondary structure includes four short double-helical elements and three loops (D, anti-codon, and T loops). Further hydrogen bonds mediate the characteristic L-shaped molecular structure. tRNAs have two regions of fundamental functional importance: the anti-codon, which is responsible for specific mRNA codon recognition, and the 3' end, to which the tRNAs corresponding amino acid is attached (by aminoacyl-tRNA synthetases). tRNAs cope with the degeneracy of the genetic code in two manners: having more than one tRNA (with a specific anti-codon) for a particular amino acid; and 'wobble' base-pairing, i.e. permitting non-standard base-pairing at the 3rd anti-codon position. The record is from RNAcentral. Lineage: Bacteria; Pseudomonadati; Bacteroidota; Flavobacteriia; Flavobacteriales; Flavobacteriaceae.
GAUUUUGUAGCUCAACGGUAGAGCGGUGGUUUGUUAAACCAAGGGUUGUAGGUUCAAAUCCUGCCAAAAUCGCCA